RNAcentral lists this ribosomal RNA (415 nucleotides) under Actinomyces sp. TeJ5 14-138. RNAcentral describes it as "bacterial SSU rRNA". It matches the Rfam family "Bacterial small subunit ribosomal RNA", at positions 62 to 470 of the family's 1533-position model. Lineage: Bacteria; Bacillati; Actinomycetota; Actinomycetes; Actinomycetales; Actinomycetaceae. The record is from RNAcentral.
UCGAACGGUGAAGGGAUCAGCUUGCUGGUUCUGGAUGAGUGGCGAACGGGUGAGUAACACGUGAGUAACCUGCCCCCUUCUUCUGGAUAACCGCAUGAAAGUGUGGCUAAUACGGGAUAUUCUGGGUCUGUCGCAUGGCGGGUCUGGGAAAGAUAUUGUUUCGGUGGGGGAUGGGCUCGCGGCCUAUCAGCUUGUUGGUGGGGUGAUGGCCUACCAAGGCGGUGACGGGUAGCCGGCCUGAGAGGGUGGACGGUCACACUGGGACUGAGACACGGCCCARACUCCUACGGGAGGCAGCAGUGGGGAAUAUUGCACAAUGGGCGCAAGCCUGAUGCAGCGACGCCGCGUGAGGGAUGGAGGCCUUCGGGUUGUAAACCUCUUUCGCCAGUGAAGCAGGCCUGCUCCUUGUGGGUGG